This 260-nucleotide ribosomal RNA is filed under the name uncultured bacterium. Its description in RNAcentral is "partial 16S ribosomal RNA". It matches the Rfam family "Bacterial small subunit ribosomal RNA", at positions 524 to 783 of the family's 1533-position model. The record is from RNAcentral.
UACGUAGGGUGCAAGCGUUAAUCGGAAUUACUGGGCGUAAAGCGUGCGCAGGCGGUUAUGUAAGACAGAUGUGAAAUCCCCGGGCUUAACCUGGGAACUGCAUUUGUGACUGCAUGGCUAGAGUGCGGCAGAGGGGGAUGGAAUUCCGCGUGUAGCAGUGAAAUGCGUAGAUAUGCGGAGGAACACCGAUGGCGAAGGCAAUCCCCUGGGCCUGCACUGACGCUCAUGCACGAAAGCGUGGGGAGCAAACAGGAUUAGAA